GGGGAACACUUAGAUCCCCAUGGCCGUAGUGUUAAUAGUCAUGUCUCUGGCCGGGCAUGGCGGUUAGUGAAUC
Molecule: non-coding RNA, 73 nt
Submitted as: unclassified sequences
Source: Rfam